Non-coding RNA from Schistosoma curassoni, 45 nucleotides. NCBI's taxonomy places the organism in Eukaryota, Metazoa, Platyhelminthes, Trematoda, Strigeidida, Schistosomatidae. The record is from Rfam.
AUCCAGCUGACGAGUCCAAAAUAGAAUGAAACACGUGUUCUGAAU